UCUUAGUUUCUUGAGUGGAUAAUGUCCAGAGAGAGGUUCCCCAUUUAAUGUGAAAUGCAAGUAGCAGAAGGUGCGGCUGAAAAUUUGCUUUGGACACGUGCUUUAACGCUGAGAUGUUUAGCUGUGAUCAGAGUUCUCAUUUUCUUGAGGGACUGAGCCCCAGGAGUUGCGGGUGGAUGGGUUAAACCUUGCUUUCAGAUGAACAGACAGAGCUUGCUGUUCCUCUUUAGAGAGUGAGUUGACUUUGCUGUUCGAGAAGACUGUUGUUCUGCAUGAAACAUAUUAAUUACUGGCUGCCUGGGUGCUGGGAUAUCUCUUUUCACGUGGAGCUGCAGGAUUUCUAUGUCAGUGACGUGUGUGGGAGAUGAAGUCCAGCAUCAGCGCCAGGCUAAAGAGGAGAUGGAGGGCAGGAGCAUCAGCCGUGUUGUUUCAUGCAUGCAUGUGUUUAAGAAAGGUCUGGAAUUGCCUGUGGAGAAACGUGCCCAUAUCUGUGCUGAAUUUGCUCCUUAACCAGAGCAAAUAUACCUUGUUUUGCGGGAGAGUCCAAAAUGAUUGGGGGAAGGUUGUCUGUGUCACCUGCCUUGUACCUACCUGCAUAAUCCAUCUGUAGCUGGUCGAAGGGAUAAAGAAGUGAGCUGACAAAUGCCAACACUUUUUUUAGAGCACAUUAUAAGGAUAUGGCUGAUAACAUCUUAUUCUCUGGUGCUGGAAGGAACAUCAGCUCAGCAUUUUCAGCAGAAGCAGGAGUGGAAUUAACCCAGCUGGUGUAUGGAAAAGGGACGAAGAGCUUAGAGGAUAGAAGGCAGAUGACUUAUUUCAUAGGAACUGCUUUGAAGUCUUUCUGUGUGGCGUGACGCUUCUCUGUCUUGGAUUAACACAGGAGCUCUCAGCCAGAGGAACUGACCUGCUGAAAAUUCGAGUGAAGGAAAGGGGAUUUAGGGACAAGAUCUGCGAAUUUUAGCCGUUCUGUUUUGGAAGACAGAAGUGAUGUAAAGAGAACAGGAACAAUUAGGGCAUAUGCUGUGUUUGUUUAUCUUCAGAAGCGUGUAGUAGGUGUGCCAGCAUGCUGUUGUUCAGCAAUUAGCAAUAAAGGCAGACAGCAAUUAACCACAUGUCUUCUGUGAGCAGUAAUGCAAGUUUUUUGUAUUUAACCUUCAUGAUUCAUGAAGCACUUUGAUUCUGGAAACCAGGAAGAAUAGGAGGGAAGAUCUUAGAGCCUGGUGUAGCCAUGUGAAAAAUGAUCAUAUUUUAUUAGUCAGUAAUAAAAGGGCUUCCAUUUAAAUAUAGAAAGCUUUUCUGUUAUUAGAAAAAAAAAUAUAUUUGCAUAUAUACAUGCAUACACAUAUAUCUAUGUAACUGUAUAGUUAUAUAUAUACUUGUUGGGUGACGGUAGAGUUCUAUUUCUGUGAAUUUUAUGCUUCCUUUGCUUGUAGGACCUCAGAUCAGAUACAUACUUGGAAACAAGUGGAUUGUAUUGAGGGACAGCCUUGGUGAAGAACUCUUUGGAAUAGAGCUUGGUCUUUUUCUAAAGUGUUCCAGCUACAGCGUAUUUUAGAAAACCAAAGAAUACCUGUGUCAUUAUCUGCUAAUGAAGAGAUAACUAUUGCAUCAGGAAUACCUAUACUUUAAGGUCGCUUCUUUUCCCUUAACCAGAUUUCUAUCACAGACCUCUUAUUUGGUAGAAUGAGGUUCAGCAACCAGUCUCAUUAUAGGUAAAAAAAUUUGGAAAGUUUUCCAUUGAUCGUGGUAUAAAAUUGGACUUAGUGUAAUGAACUGGCUCCAGAAUGUGUGCUGGAAUAAUGAUUUUUGUGAAUUAAUAAGAUACUGUUUUCCGGUUUUUAUGGAUUAAUACUUAGCUACAAGCUGUUUAGCAUUUGGAUAGAGAACAUCCUAGUAGUAAAAUGCAAUUUUGUUUGGAAACAGAUGGAACAAUUGGGUUGGUGGACAGACUGUUGUAGAGGGUAGCUGGGGAGAGGCAGAAAGUGCCUGUAUUGGUUGUUCUUUCAGCACAAGUCACUGGGAUUGCCAUUUUAAAAGGAAUCUGGUGGCAGUUUUUUGGAAAAGGGAGUUUUGGGAGCUCUUUUUUUUUGCCUGUGUCUAAAAAUGUGAUUUUAGAAAAAACAGUUAAAAUGAGGUAUUUUGGAAAGAAAAUGAUCAUCUUUUAGAAUAGAAAGAAAAUCAUAUUCAUUGUGUCCUCAAUUAUAAAAAUGUAUCACUUAGCCUGGAAUUGAAAGCUUAUGUAACACUACAUGCAAACACGAAACCUACAUUCCUCCUGCUGUCCCUGUGCCCACUGGGAGCUCUAGCAUUUUCCAAACAGCACUUUUUCAAAGGUGAGUUUUCUCGGGAGAAUUUUUUUUCAAAUCCACCUAAUAAGUGUGCCAUGGAGCGUUGCAGACAUUCCGCCGUGAGCUGAGGAGAGGGCAUGAUGUUGUAAAAGGAGCUGAAGGACGAGAGAAGUGAUUUGAGCUGAAGACUUGUCAGACUUGUCAGAACAUUUGGUCGGGGCAGCGCAGCAGCGGGCUAAGCGCGUUGCAGAAACAGACUGGCAGAAAUAAGGAGGUGCUCUGAAAUUGGUGCUCACCCUGGGAAGUCCUCUGUGCUUCUGGGUUACCUCUGGCCUAAGUGCAGUGAUGGCUGUUGGUGCUGAUGUUGGUGGGAAUGCUAUUUUGCAUUGUACUGGUCCAAAAUGGCCUUAGCGACAGCGUUCUGGAGAGAGAAACAAAGCCUAUGUGUUUUACUAUUCUUCGCAUGAUGAUUAUUCAGCUAAUGCCAGUUCUAAUUUCAGAUGAAAUGCUGAGGUAACUGGUUUUGUUGGUGUUAAUCCACAAUUAUUCAACUAAGAGCAAUAUCAAAGCCAUAAUCUUAAGCAGUCACAGGCAUGGCAAAUAGCCAUUGGCAGAGCUUCAAGAAAUGUGUUCGAUCAGUUAUUGUUCUCGUGCCAUGGAGAGACCUGUAACAGAACAUUCCUGCAGGGGACAAGUUGCCUUGAAAUGUAAAUCAAAUUCAGUUUCACCAUACUCAUUAGUACUGUCUUUGAUGCUGCUUGGUAACCAGGCAGCACCUGGAGCCUUGACAUCUGGCCAGCUGGGCAUUAAUGAUGCAUACCAUCAGUUUGAUCAGUGUUUUAACUGGGAAACAUUAAGGGGAGAUGUGCGAGUGUGAGUGAAGCAUUGUUCUGCAGGUAAUAUAGGAAAGAUGUGAAAGCCUUGAAUGGUCUUAGAUUGUGAGCAGUCCUUGCAGGAUCUCAAGGAUACCAGUACACAGGUGAAUGAGCCCUGCCUCUGCUCACAAAGCUACAGAUGCCUCAUGCACUGGUAUCCAGGGGCAGUGGUUUGCAGGUCUGGAAGAAGCAGAGCUCGGCAUAAUCCUGGGGCAGUGUCUGGCUGAGCUGUGGGAAGGAUUUGGUUUGCAGUCACAGGAUUACCCGUGAGAUGCUUCUUGAUUGGAACAGAAAUAUUUAAUCAGAUCUAUCUCUUGGAACUGCCAUGUUGAGAAAACAGGUCUCCAAAUUGGAUUUUUGUGAUCGAUGGGCAGGAAAGACCUUUUUAUCCACCUUAGUGGAGCUGACUUACAAAACUAGGGUUGGGUGACAGCAGAAUGUCUGUAUUCUGGCAGGACCGGCUGUCUCCUGUCUGGGAAUGCAAGCUGUUCUGGAACUGUGCACUGAUCCUCUGUAAAUUUGAGCCACAAUCUGUACGUUCUUGCACAUCGAAAGAAAAAUGGCUGCUGAGUUCAGAAAUAAUGUGAUUCUAUUUCACCAAUUUCCGAAGGCAAGUGUUGUUUCCCAGUAAGAUGCAUAGGAAUACGUGGGUACCUAGGUGUAUGUUUUGGAAUUUAUUUAAGUACAUCAGUGAAGCAGGAAUCUCUGUGUUGUUUUUUGGAGGCCAGGGACCUGACCCAAGCAGAACAGGGUUCAGAGCCUGAGCACAAGGAUCUGUAGGAUCUGUUUGGAGAAGAGCACAUCUGGAUCCAGGCUUGAGAGAGAAACAGGUUAUAGACACCAAAUGUCAGGGGCAGCGGCAUCAGCCUCUGCUAACGAGCUCGUGUUUGCCUGUUCUGUGAAGUCCUCUUUGAAGCAAUGUUCUGUAAGUUCAUGAAUCUGUUAAAAAUACCAUUCCAAAACAGAGAUUGGGAUCUACAGAAACAGUUCCUUACUUCAGGAAAUGGAGCAUUUCUGAAUAAUACCAUCUUCUGUCAUGCCUACUCAAACUAAUUAGACAACACUGCCACACUUUAGUAAUGUAAUUUAUCUCUUGCCUAGGUAAACUAUAUUCAUGCUUCAGCUACUUGAAUAUUACUGUUCCGCAUUUGAAGUUAUUAUGUUAUUCUGUGCUGUUUAUGUUCCAUGAUAUCAGAUUGUAAUUAAACAAGCGCUUGGGAAGUUGAGUAUUUCCAAGCUCAGAAAAGCUUGUUUGGGGCAUGCAUUGUUUCCCAGGUGAACAGGCUGGACUUGGGCGUGUCCUUUUCUGAAUUGCAUCUGACGUCCUACGCAAGCCAAACAUUCAUCUGUGGGCAUUAAGCAUGUGAAUAGCCUAUUUAACUGAAAGCACAAGUUCACAUUAUUUAAUUGAAUCGGGGUUUGGAGGCCAAAUUUAUUCCAGCUGGAGAUCUGGCAGGGAAGGGCUAAUAUUCUCGGAAGGAAGGAAGGAAAGAAAGAAAGUAGUUCUAAAGCUUAAAAACAUUAAAGAAAAUGCCAGUAGAAAAAAAUGUACUUAGUUUAAAAUAUAUUAUUGGCUUCCAUGAAGCAUGCCCCUGAUGUAGCUGCAGUUGCGCUAAUGGGCACAGCAUCCGCCUGCCAUUCACACCAAUUGGAGGAAGCACUUCAACAUCGGUUAGGGGGCAGGACAGCCUGAGACAAUGCAAAACAUUGCCCAGAAGGACUGAGAGGUUUUCUUGGUGAUUGCUUGCAAACUGUUGCUGUCUGUUUGGUUAAUGUGUGGAUGACAGAUCACAAAGCAACCAGAAGACAGAGGGAAAGCAGAGCAGCAUAGAGCUGUCCUGGUGUGGCCUGAUAAAGGGCUGGCAGCUUCUGGAUGUGCAAGGGUGGAGGUGCAGCAGGUUAGCAAGGAGACAAGGUCGUCUUCUGCCUUCCCUACCCACCUGGCUGCAUUUGCACUGCCAGCUGAGCAGGCUGAAGGCUGCUUUGCCUGUCCAUGCUACUUGCCUGAGUUUGAGGCUAGCCCUGGGCGGACUUAGAGGAAGCAUCAGCGAGGUUUGGUCUUGAAAGUACACUCAGAAAAGACAUUGCCUGUGCCCCUUAUCAGUUCAUCCUGCCUUGGGCAGAUAAAACGGGCUCUUUUCUACAAGGGACUUGAUUUUAACUGUGUCAAGGCCAGCUGAGCAUUGCAGACAUGUGAAACUUGGGCUGGAUUCAAGCAGCUUAUGUGCAAACUCCUGGGAGUACCUGGGCUAAGGCACAGAGGUCCUGCAGGACCGCUGCGCUCAGGCAGGGUGGCAGUGGGAAGAGCAGAACCUGGCCUCCAGCUGCAGCAGUUCUCAGCUGCUGUCGGUGGCACUCAGCAGGGUAAUGCCCCAGCACAUGCAGUGGCAUCAGUGUGAUUUUACUCAGGUUGAUUUAAAGAAUUUCACAGCUAAAUUUAAAGCACCAUUAAGUAGAACGAUGUGUGGGGAAUGGCACCACGCUGUUUUUUUAAUUUUGGAACCUGGCUUUAUAAAUACGCUGCUUUCCUAAGCAGGUUCUUAAAAGAUACCUGUCAAGUAGAUUCUGUCUUGUAAAUAGAUCCAGAUGAAUUUCAUUAAGAUUUUUUUGUGUAAAUCUUUUCUGCCAUGCCUUAGGUUGACUUUGGUAGUUUAUAAAAGCUUCUAAGAACAAUAAAAAAAGGAUAUUUUAUUCUCUCUGAAUAUGUGUUAUGCAGAUUUCCCUGGGUAACAAUUUAAUCUUUUUUAGGAUUGUACUGGAAGGGAACAAUGACUCACAUCCAUUGAUAAAAUACACCUUACCUCCAUAUUAUUAACAAGUGCAGUCAAGUGAAUCAGACUGCAUCUGCCAUUGAGAAUAGAGAUGCUUGUUUGGAGGACAGGGCAGGAUUGCACUCCCAGCCUGUUUUGUUUAUGGUUCCAAAGCCAAAAUACAGGUUGGAGAUUUGUCCCAGGUCAGUGUCUCCUUGACAGCGUGUGCACUGUUGCAUAUCAAGUGCUCCUGCAUAAAAAAAAAAGCUGGAUGGCAAAAAAUAAAUAGCAGUGCUCUAGAGUAAAAGACAGAUCCCGAUGUCUUAUGCGUUCUAGGAAUAUGCCUCCCGUACUGCCAGCUCAAAAUGCAUGGCAAAAAAAAGCAAAAAACAAAGCCACAAUCAAGCUGACAAAGUGAUGUGUAUAGUACAAACUGGCAGAGCGUUUAGUAAAAGAAUAAGAAUUAUUUCGAAAAAGAAAAACAUGACUGGAAAGGUACCUGAAUAACACAUUGCUUCUGCUGAUUUUUCUGUUGUUAAAAUAAGAAAAAUCCAUGAUACGGAGCUGUUCAUUAGUGUAACUGUGAUUUUACUGCUACAUUGUAUAAUUUUCUUUCCACACUGGGGAAACAAAAAUAAAUAUGCCAAAGAUGGAGCAUCUAUUAACAAAUAAGUCAGCUGGGACAAGCAGAAAUUCAUGUAAAAUGCUGCGAGCGUGGUAAGAUCCAGAAAAGGCAUAAAGACUGAAGAAAAUGAUAAAAUGCGUGUCACAGAAAGCAGUCACUCUGUGGGGAAAAAAGCCAUGUAGCAGAAGCAAAGCUUUAGCAAUUUAUGCAAUGAAGGAAAUUAAUUUAAGCUGGAAGAAACAUUAUUUUUCCCAAUAUAAAUCUGGCUUUAUAUUUAUAAAACUUAUUUUGUACUUUUUCUUUAAAGUCUGUUUGCAUAUUUGGUCUACAAAGUGCUAUCAUUUGCUGUUUCAUACUUGGUCUCAGAUGACACCUUGAAAUUUAAUGUCAUAGCAGAGGUAGGGUAGGGCAUGCAGAGUAAGCAGUCGCGCUGUUGGUUUAAGGUUUAUGAUACUAGACUGGUGAAUUAAGCAAAACUAGCGCUAAGAAAAAAUGCCACACUACAUAAAGAAAUGUGUGGAGAGCCUGCAUUUGAUUGCAUUACCAGAUCCUCUGCAUUUAUAGCCCUACAAUGUAUUGCAGAGGUGUGGGCACAUGCAACAUCUAACUGCUGGAAUAUUCCCAUAAUGAAACUGCACUAUUCUUGUUCCACUGAUGUUCACUUCAAGAAAAUGUACGUUAGUCUCUUCUGAAAUGCCUACCCAGGUAAUACUUCUGGAGGGGAUUGUAGCAGACGGGCAGUCUCUGGUCUCGUUUGGGUGUUACCAUAGUUGAGUGCCAUCUUGGUAAGGUAGUGGCCUGGGAGUCAGCGGAUGCGUUCUCAGCUCUGCCCAGUUUAGCUGCCAGGUGUUGAGGAGGACCUGCUCUGGAAAACAGAAGCAAUAAACUGCUUUUCCCUCCUCUUGCUCACUGUGUCAAAUUGGAUUCCAUAGCAUAGCUCUUGCCUUGAAUAUUGGAUGUGAUUAUAUGAUACCAGCACAAUGGAUUUCAUCCUUAUUCAGUCUGGAAGGUAUUGCCUUGUAAUAUAUAUGAUAAUACUUUAAAUUAGAAAUUCACCAUAGUCAUAGAAAACAGCUGGAAAACUCAUCAAUUAUAUCAUGCAUCACUUUUUAAAGGAUGACCUGAAUAUCUGCAAGUCCUGAAUUACUGUCUGCACCCACGUCACCAUCAGUCUGUGUUUAGUAUUUCUGCCAAAGCUGUGGCCAUCCAAACCCUUUGGCAAGCAGGAUGGCAGCCACCCUGCCCCGUGGGUAGCCAUGGCAUCUCCCUGCAUCACCAUGGCAGUGGGGAGGUGAAUAUGCUUCAGUAACAAGUGACCUCUGGCAGCGCUGUCCUGGAAGAAAAUUUGACAACACAGAUUUUCAUUGAAAAGAAAACCUAAUACAGCUGUCUUAGAUUUCUGUCUCAAAAUCUGAGACCUGUAUCAGUAACAGGGUAAGAUCCUGAGUUCAGAAGAGCCUCGUUCCUCCCCUCCCCUCCCCUCCCCUUCUCCACCUGUCUCUGCAGCCCAGCCACGUAGAUGAAUCACAGCAGAAUUGAACAGGUUCGAGAGAAGCCGAGUGAAAGUAUUGGGUAACUCUGCCAAAUUUAUUGCUUUAUUCAUUAUUUAUGCAGGCAGCAGAUGCAAUACAGAUUUAGGGACUGACUGCAGUAAAUAAAAGUCUGACGUGGCCCAGCCAGACACACUAAACACUUCAGCUAUUGCACCAAGAUGUAAAUUUCAAGUCCUAAUAGCAAUGGGAAAUGUUUGAGUACUGGUGUUAAAAGCAGCACCUAAAAUUUCUGGGUGCUAGUGGCAGAGCUGAUGCCUCACAGCACCUUUGUGUUGGGGGCCUGUGGAAAGCAAAAGCAAAGAGCAAACAGGUACUUGUCCCAUGAGAGCAGGCAAGGAAUCUCUUGUGUAACAAACUAGGUGUCUGCCCCUUCCCCCAUGGUUCGUUUGGGACAAAUAAGAUACAGCUGCUGGUGGCUCUGGGGCCUUCAGUGAUUGGUGAGCCUUGAUGAGCAGCUCUGAGUUGGCACCUGUGGGCCAACUUGGGGGAGGUGCUUGGCUGGCUGUGUUGCCCUGAGGUGUGGGGAGAGUUACUUCUGGAGGUAUGGACCAGUCAGGCUUUGUCCUUGGAGCUGUGGUGGUGGGACUGAAGGAGGUCUGGGCUCCAGCUUGCUGAUCUGCAACUCUGCAGUUGUCCUGAAACCAGGAAUGCUGAAGGACCCUCAGAAAGGGAGGUGAUGCAAGUCAGGACCGCUUUCUAGCUCGUGAGGUCUCUGUGCUGUACCCUGCCUGCUGGCCACUUCUAGUGACAGAAACAGGAGACUACAGAGGUUGUAUUGGGAAAAAAUGUCCAUGUUCUCCAAAUGGAAGUGGCUUCCAAGUGCAGGGAUGUCUGCCAGUUCCUGUACCCAAGUUUCCAGCAGAUAUUUUGCUCUUCAGUCUGAACUUCAAGGACUGAGGAUCUCUGCUUCGUAAAGGAAACACUUGUGCUGUCUGCUUCUAUACGAUGCCACGCCUCUAGUUCACACUGAAUUUAAGGAUAAAGCCUUCUCUUCCCUGGGUUGCUUGUACCAAGCUCCGCAAAUCCUGAUGGCCUUAAACACGCCAACCUGGUCCCAGCAGAGCUACUCAUGUCCUGAGCUAUGCAGAGAUUAAACAAUAUUCCAGAAGGCUCGCUUCAAAACCCAGCAGCAAGGCUAAGGGCUGGAUAACACAGUAUUGCCUGUGUUAUCCGAGGGAGAAUAGCAGAAGGAAAAUGUUCCCGUGGCAUUCUCAAGACUGAAAAAGCAAAAAUGUGCCGGAGCCCAACAGCAAUAAUUGCUGCAGCCAGGAGAAGCAGAGGGGCUGCUGUAGCGCUUGGAGCAAAUGAGAAAGGAUGAAUUGCCUGAAAACCGCACGUCCACCGCAUGCUGGUGUUGCUGGGCAUCUUUCAGGAUGCUUCCAGCACCGGCUUUGGUGAAUAAGAACUGGUUAUCUGAGGUUCUCCUGCUACCCCACGUCACUGAACAACUCUGCAGGGAUGAGUCAAUCCACCAGAAGUCCUAAGUGAAUUCUAGUGAGAAAAGGAAGCAGAGGACAGGCUGCAAUCAAGCCGAAGUAUCGAGCAAACAGAAAUCAGCCUGCUUGUGAGAGAGCUGCCCCAUCAAGGGCUCUGACUGUGCAGUUGCCAACGCGUCAGUGUGACUGAAGCCCUGGAUGGAUUUCACAGUGAGGACUGGAGGCCCCCAGAAGAUCUGAACUUCAUGAUGGAAUGUUAGAUUGAAAACCAGCACUGCUAAAAAAAAACAAACAAAAACAUACUGAAGAGGAGGCCUGCAGAUAUGCCCUGCUCAGCUGAAGUUACCCUGCCAACACCCACACAGACUGUGCUUUGAAAGGUGGGAAUGGUUCAAGGAGACCCAAGCAAACAAGACAGUGCUGCAUUUGCUCAUUGCAAAGCUAAUCGACUCCUUGUCAACUGGAUCUGAACUAAAUUUCAAAGCAAAUCCCUGUCUUCAGGGUUUUUCUUGGACUGACGAUUCUAGGGCAUGUCUACUCUCCUGCAGCCACAGGCCUGCCUGCUGCUGUUACUACAUUUAUCAAGAAUGUGUCAUGUUAUAGCUGGUUAAUUUAAAGAAAUCACAGCAGUUCCGACACAAGUUGCCACCCACUUUAUAAUCCGUAUAGAUGCAAUUAGAAUUGAUUGAGCCACUGCAAAUAACCAACAGUAAAACAAAGGUUUCCCAGUAUAUACUUAAUUAGGCUGAUCCAUAAAUAUGGAUUAGGUUAAAAGGUUUCUGAGAUGUAUGUGUGCAUCGCAGGAUGUCUGCUAAUGCCUUCAGGCCUUUGAAAGAGGCGGCUGUAGCUGGAGGGCACUGGGUCCAUGGGGUGGUGUUUGAGGCUCCCUGUCCCCGCUGUGGGGCAGUGGGAGCUCCACGCCAGGAGCAUGUGAACACACCAGGAACCGAACAUGAAAGGCACCUCUGCAGAAGGAUGCUCUCAUUCUCUCCUUCUUUGCUUGAGGGAAGGAGUUUUUAAAUUAUUUAUUUAUUUUCAAUCUAGUGUUUGGUAUCAGCUUGAAGUUUGGGACUUUAUCGGCCCCAGAAGUGAAUCUGCGCACUGGCUCACAGUAACUUAUUUAGCUUUUAUAAAGCUACGUUAAGCACGCGGCAACUCAUUAGCAUCACUCCAGCUGGGAGACCACCGUCAAAGCUUCGUAUGAAUAUAAACUCAAAUUUGAACAUGAAUUGGUUUGGCUUUUUCCCUGCACCUCUCAGUGCUCCAGGGAGACGUGCAAUCCCACCUGGCAGGAGCACUCGCACAGACUCUGUGCAGCAAAGAGAAAGAGAGACACAGAGCCAACCUCCAUGGAAUUUGCUGCCUAAAGCAGACAGUAAGAAACCCUCAUCCUUGUGUAUAACCACAUCUUCUAGCAAUCUUCUCCCUGUUUUGUCUCUUCCACACUACACUUCCUUUCUGUCUUGUCCUGGGGCAUCCCAAUGGUCUGUGGCAGCUCUCCUGUCCUUACAGGGAGCAAGGAGAACUUGGUUGUAACACACUCAGCCAUAUGGUAAGACACUCUGAGUCACCAUUUCAAGAAAAAAAGCAUCAGACCAAGUGAAGCUGAACCUGCUUUUUCCAAAUGAGUUAUGUGACAAAUUCACUUAAUUCACUUUGUUCUCUUCCCCCAACCAUGGAAACACCUGAAGGGGCUCCUGAGCCAGAAGGAUCUGCUGAAGGCAGAACUGAUCAGAGACAGAACUCGGAGAAAGUAGACACAGAUUUGGAUGAAUGGAGGGGAAAGAGGAGCAAUAAAGAAUAAAUAACAUUGGACUCUAAACUUUCCACUGAAAUAGCUUUGGGAGCCUCAUUUACUGUGGAAACAUCCCAAACCUCCAAGUGUGGUCAAUCAUUCCAUGUAAGAACAGAUCUUGGAUCUUUUAUAGGUCCAGUCCUUGUAAAGGGCAACAAAUGCCUGUCUUUAAACAAUUUACAUUCUGCCAGUUAUGCGCAUCUGGACAUAAUAUCACAGGAAAAAACCUGUCCCCUAUUUCCCUUCAUGGCUUUACUUGCAUGCACAGACUCUAGGCCAAAACUAAUAAGUAAAUGGGAAUAGAAAACGAAUAACUAGCUGCAUAUGCUGUUUUUAUGAACUGCUAAAUGAAAUGUCUUUGCUGGUAGCUGCCCCAGAAUUAAUUUUUUAGUUUGAAUUGUACUGAUGAAUUUUGAGAGAGAUACAGGAAUGAACAUGUUCUGUUUCCUUCAUGGUGCUGGGAAAGAGAAAGCAACUUCUUGUGCUCUGCGCUGGUCAUAUGUGGAUAUGCAGUGGUUUAGGAAAUACAGUGACAGUUUCCACGUUCUUGCUCUCAAGAUACAAGAGCAUAGUGGCUGCUACCAGAUUUGUGCAAACAUUUUUUAGAAAGUCACAGAUUGUGCACAAAUAUGGGCAGAUUUUUACGUACGUACCUAUGUGGACUCCAGUUUCUACAUCCGGAAUGUGUGAGACAGAGUGGGCCUGAUCACGACGAAGCAAAUCAAACUCAAAGUGUAUGAAAAAGGCUUCUGGAGGAGCAAAUUAUCUGCAAUGGAAAUCUUUCUAACAAGAGCUGUAGAGCUUUUUUUUCACUCAGGGUGAGGGAAGAACAAAACUUGAAUCCCUAAUAAAACAUACUUCUCUCUUCUGCUGACAGCUCCUGGCUAAGGCUGAUGUAUGUUUUAUUUUCAGAGUUCGGACAAGACAAUACUACUGUUCCUUCAUUUUAGAGGAUUUUUGGCAGCUUUCGCAUUGUUUACAGCAGUAACAGAAACUGUUCUUUUAGAACUUCUAAUUCUUCUGUCGUACUCUCAUAAUGCCUUUAUUUGGCACAGAAAAAUAUAUUUAAGUAAUAAAGUGGUGACAAACUGACAAAAGCUUGAAAUCAAAGCUAAACGACAAUUGCCAGCACAGAGCACAGUAAUGUCAUUGAGACAGAAAGCCUUAAAAAAACCCAAACAAACAAAUCUGCAUUGUAAAUAUCAUUCUAACUAUGGUGAAGUGUCUCUGUCUGCUCCUGUAAUUAAUUUUCUCCUUUACCUUCAUGCCUCAGCCACAGGGAGAUUAUGCAUCCCAGCAUCAGCAGCGAAGCGCUCCCGAGGCUUUUCCUAGAUAAUAUUGUUCCCAGGCUUUGUAUUUCAUUCCUAUGGUAGAUUUCUCGUUACCAUAUGAAUAGGGCUCUUCAACAAGAAAUAUGAGCCAGAUCUUCUCUCAGUGAAUCAAUGGGCCAACUUUUUAUUUUUUUUCUUAUUUGUGGCAAUCUGGAGUGACUCCCUAAUUCUGGUGGAACGAUUUGAGAUUCGGAGUUUGGACCAGAGCGCUUUUGCCUUACCACCACAAAGCAGGGACGCUUGGUUGAAGCCUCAGACAUGAUUGGCUUUGCUCAGUACCCUUACAAAGCAAAAAGCAGCAAGGCUGCUGACUACAUGCCACAUUUUCAAUCCAAUCUGUGCCUCAACUGUUAAAUUAGCAAAGAACAUGGAAUUCAUUCAUUUGCAGAAGAUGAAUUAGUAGCAGUAACGUUUAGAAGUAGGCUGCUUCAAACUUAAAAUUCUUUCUACACGCAGUGUUUUUUCAAAAUGUAUCAUUGCCUAGUAGCUAGCAAGAGCAGCAGGUUGCCUGUGGUUUAGUUUUUCCUUAAGAAACGGUGUCACCAAAUGCUAGAAGAAGAAAUCAGCAUGUUGGCUGUCCUGGUGAGAAAUGUGUAGCAUCAGGCUCCUGCUGAGCACGAUAAGGGCAGCAUUAGCUCUCAGCAGUUGUCUGGUGGUGCCUGAGUUACAGAGGCAGCACGUAAUGCUGGAAGGUAAAGGCCCAACUCGGUUUAUUUGCUGCCUCAUCAGGAAGAACUUCUGAAAACUUGCAAGGACCAUUCACGUAUCUCUCAAUUUUAAGACAUGUAAAGUUAGGAAUAUCAGGCAGAUGGAAGCACUUGAGCACAACAGGAGGAAUGGUAAAGACAUUCCUAACAACAAACUUGUUUUGACCACAGCAGAUCAGAGAACAGGUGUGGCUGCAGACUGUACUCUCUCUCCCAGCCCAACAUACCUGGCACUGGCUGAAGAGCUGAGCACCCAGUGCAUGAGCUGCUGGUGGCCCCAGGGUGGCUCAGCGCUGCUGUGGUAGGGAAGAAAAUGGUUUCCUUCUGAAAAAUCUGACUGGGUCUGAUGCUGCACGAACCAGGGCUGCUGCAUCUACUGAUGUUUCUGUAACGCAAGUGUUUGGCACGUACUGAGCAGGCUUUGGCAGGGAUCAGGCAGAAGUGAAUGCCUGCACAUGACAACUUGUCAGGUAGCUCUGGCCUAGGCUGAUUUUCACUAAUCCAGUAUUUCAUACAUUAAUGUUUUUUAUCAUUAAACACAGAACCUUUGCCAAGCUAACAGAUUAAACACCUGUAACUCUUUAUGAGCAAAAGUGAAUGCAAAGCUUUGGAGAAGGGUCCGUUUUUCUUUCUAAGUGAUGUUUUUUAUGAUAGCUGUUAUUGCUGAGAGUCUGAAUUUCCCUGGAUGUUGAACUGUGCGUAUUAUAAAGAUAUAAAGACUUUUGUUCAAAGUGGCUGUCUUGUUUGGGCUGGAUACAGACACUUUCACUUGUCUUGGUGCAACAAUUUCAUCUGAUUUACUAUUUAUAAUAUUCCUCUAUUUUCGCUGUUUCCAGUGCUGCACUAC
This is a long non-coding RNA of Numida meleagris (helmeted guineafowl), 14207 nucleotides long. RefSeq lists it as uncharacterized. The record is from RefSeq and is a predicted model, not a curated record. The transcript is spliced from 16 exons. Lineage: Eukaryota; Metazoa; Chordata; Aves; Galliformes; Numididae.